This 511-nucleotide ribosomal RNA is filed under the name uncultured bacterium. RNAcentral's name for it is "bacterial SSU rRNA". It matches the Rfam family "Bacterial small subunit ribosomal RNA", at positions 43 to 507 of the family's 1533-position model. The record is from RNAcentral.
CGUGCCUAAUACAUGCAAGUCGAACGCAUUUGUGGUUGAAAUGAUAUGAAGAACUUGUUCAGAUUUGAUUUUCAACAUUGCAAUGAGUGGCGAACGGGUGAGUAACACGUGGGAAACCUACCUCUUAGCAGGGGAUAACAUUUGGAAACAAAUGCUAAUACCGUAUAAUAAUUAAAACCGCAUGGUUUUAGUUUAAAAGAUGGUCUUGCUAUCACUAAGAGAUGGUCCCGCGGUGUAUUAGUUAGUUGGUGAGGUAAUGGCUCACCAAGACAAUGAUACAUAGCCGAGUUGAGAGACUGACCGGCCACAAUGGGACUGAGACACGGCCCAUACUCCUACGGGAGGCAGCAGUAGGGAAUCUUCCACAAUGGACGAAAGUCUGAUGGAGCAACGCCGCGUGUGUGAUGAAGGGUUUCGGCCCGUAAAACACUGUUGUAAGAGAAGAAUGACAUUGAGAGUAACUGUUCAAUGUGUGACGGUAUCUUACCAGAAAGGAACGGCUAAAUACGUG